Molecule: unclassified non-coding RNA, 380 nt
Filed under: uncultured bacterium
Lineage: Bacteria
Description: contains 16S-23S intergenic spacer region
Source: RNAcentral
UCCGGCUUAUCACCGGCAGUCCCCUUAGAGUGCCCAACUAAAUGAUGGCAACUAAGGGCGAGGGUUGCGCUCGUUGCGGGACUUAACCCAACAUCUCACGGCACGAGCUGACGACAGCCAUGCACCACCUGCACAGAAGUCCCUUGCGGGAGGCGCUCACUUUCGAGAGCGUUUCCUCUGCAUGUCAAGCCCAGGUAAGGUUCUUCGCGUUGCGUCGAAUUGAACCACAUGCUCCACCGCUUGUGCGGGCCCCCGUCAAUUCCUUUGAGUUUUAGCCUUGCGGCCGUACUCCCCAGGCGGGGCACUUAAUGCGUUAGCUCCGGCACGGGAGGAGUCGACACCUCCCACACCUAGUGCCCAUCGUUUACGGCGUGGACUAC